Molecule: non-coding RNA, 106 nt
Organism: Malassezia obtusa
Lineage: Eukaryota; Fungi; Basidiomycota; Malasseziomycetes; Malasseziales; Malasseziaceae
Source: the annotation of a GenBank genome assembly
GCGGCUAUCGUCUAGUGGUUUAGGAUCUCACCUUCCCAUUUACUAGGGAUGGCGGGCGUAAGCCCGGUUCUAGGUGAGGACACGAGUUCGAACCUCGUUGGUCGCA